UACGUAGGGUGCGAGCGUUAAUCGGAAUUACUGGGCGUAGAGCGUGCGCAGGCGGCGCGUUAAGACAGGUGUGAAAGCCCCGAGCUUAACUUGGGAAUUGCGCUUGUGACUGGCGAGCUGGAGUGUGGCAGAGGGAGGUGGAAUUCCACGUGUAGCAGUGAAAUGCGUAGAGAUGUGGAGGAACACCGAUGGCGAAGGCAGCCUCCUGGGCCAGCACUGACGCUCGUGCACGAAAGCGUGGGGAGCAAACAGG
Molecule: ribosomal RNA, 253 nt
Filed under: uncultured bacterium
Lineage: Bacteria
Description: partial 16S ribosomal RNA
Rfam family: Bacterial small subunit ribosomal RNA
Source: RNAcentral